GCCUUCGUGGUGUAAUGGUCAGCACACUGAGCCGCUAUUUCAGAGAUCCGUGUUCGAUUCCCGGCGAAGGCG
RNAcentral lists this transfer RNA (72 nucleotides) under Stegodyphus mimosarum. It matches the Rfam family "tRNA". From Rfam's summary of the family: Transfer RNA (tRNA) molecules are approximately 80 nucleotides in length. The record is from Rfam by way of RNAcentral. Lineage: Eukaryota; Metazoa; Arthropoda; Arachnida; Araneae; Eresidae.